RNAcentral lists this ribosomal RNA (302 nucleotides) under uncultured bacterium. Its description in RNAcentral is "partial 16S ribosomal RNA". It matches the Rfam family "Bacterial small subunit ribosomal RNA", at positions 508 to 807 of the family's 1533-position model. The record is from RNAcentral.
GCAGUAGCCACGGUAAAACAGAGGCCUCAAGCGUUGUUCGGAUUCAUUGGGCGUAAAGGGUGCGUAGGUGGCUUGGUAAGUUGAAGGUGAAAUCUCGGGGCUUAACCCAGAAACUGCCUUCAAUACUGCUAGGCUCGAGGACUGUAGAGGAGAAUGGAAUUCACGGUGUAGCAGUGAAAUGCGUAGAUAUCGUGAGGAAGACCAGUGGCGAAGGCGAUUCUCUGGGCAGUUCCUGACACUGAGGCACGAAGGCCAGGGGAGCAAACGGGAUUAGAUACCCGCGUAGUCCCUGUCUCUUAUAC